UCCGUAGGCGGGUAAUUAAGUCAGAGGUGAAAUCCCACAGCUCAACUGUGGAACUGCCUUAGAUACUGGUUAUCUUGAGUUUUAGUGAAGUAGUUAGAAUGUGUAGUGUAGCGGUGAAAUGCAUAGAUAUUACACAGAAUACCGAUUGCGAAGGCAGUCUACUAACUAACAACUGACGCUAAUGGACGAAAGCGUGGGGAGCGAACAGGAUUAGAUACCCUGGUAGUCC
RNAcentral lists this ribosomal RNA (229 nucleotides) under uncultured bacterium. Its description in RNAcentral is "partial 16S ribosomal RNA". It matches the Rfam family "Bacterial small subunit ribosomal RNA", at positions 568 to 796 of the family's 1533-position model. The record is from RNAcentral.